AUUGAACGCUGGCGGCAUGCCUUACACAUGCAAGUCGAACGGCAGCGGGGGAGAAGCUUGCUUUUCCUGCCGGCGAGUGGCGAACGGGUGAGUAAUACAUCGGAACGUGCCCUGUAGUGGGGGAUAACUAGUCGAAAGAUUAGCUAAUACCGCAUACGACCUGAGGGUGAAAGUGGGGGACCGCAAGGCCUCAUGCUAUAGGAGCGGCCGAUGUCUGAUUAGCUAGUUGGUGGGGUAAAGGCCUACCAAGGCGACGAUCAGUAGCUAGUCUGGGAGGACAGUCAGCCACACUGGGACUGAGACACGGCCCAGACUCCUACGGGAGGCAGCAGUGGGGAAUUUUGGACAAUGGGCGAAAGCCUGACUCAGCAAUGCCGCGUGUGUGAAGAAGGCCUUCGGGUUGUAAAGCACUUUUGUCCGGAAAGAAAUGGCUCUGGUUAAUACCUGGGGUCGAUGACGGUACCGGAAGAAUAAGGACCGGCUAACUACGUGCCAGCAGCCGCCGUAA
Molecule: ribosomal RNA, 508 nt
Filed under: uncultured bacterium
Lineage: Bacteria
Description: partial 16S ribosomal RNA
Rfam family: Bacterial small subunit ribosomal RNA
Source: RNAcentral